Oreochromis aureus is the source of this 377-nucleotide long non-coding RNA. NCBI's taxonomy places the organism in Eukaryota, Metazoa, Chordata, Actinopteri, Cichliformes, Cichlidae. The record is from Ensembl.
UUCCAUUCCAAAAAGGAGACUUCCUUUUGGAAUACAGAGGUAAACUCAUACCAAAAGAAGAAUGUGAGCGGAGACACAGAGUUUAUCAUGACAGCCUGAAGGUGUUCAUGUUUGAAUUCAAGUUUGAUGGAAAACUCUGGUGUGUGGAUGCAUCUCAAGAAGAUGGGUCAUUAGGCAGACUUGUCAACGACAACCACAUCAGUCCAAGUGCUAAAAUGAAAAUAUUAAAUAUCAAUGGAAAGCCCCAUCUAUGCUUAUUUGCAAGCAGAGACAUAAGUCCAGGCGAAGAAAUAGACUAUAAUUAUGGUGACUCGGAUUGGCCCUGGAGAUGCAAGGCUGAGACCAGCCAGAUUGAGAAGACUGUGAGCUGCCUAAAG